RNAcentral lists this ribosomal RNA (307 nucleotides) under uncultured bacterium. RNAcentral describes it as "bacterial SSU rRNA". It matches the Rfam family "Bacterial small subunit ribosomal RNA", at positions 28 to 311 of the family's 1533-position model. The record is from RNAcentral.
GACGAACGCUGGCGGUAUGCUUAACACAUGCAAGUCGAACGAGAAAGUUUUGAAUGAUCCUUCGGGUGAAAUUAGAACUGGAAAGUGGCGAACGGGUGAGUAACGCGUGGGUAACCUGCCCUAUGGAAAGGAAUAGCCUCGGGGAAACUGGAGUAAAGACCUUAUAUUAUGGUUUUGUUCGCAUGGCGAGAUCAUGAAAACUACCGGUUGCCAUAGGAUGGACCCGCGUCCCAUUAGCUAGUUGGUGAGAUAACAGCCCACCCAAGGCCGACGAUGGGUAACCGGUCCUGAGAGGGCGAACGGUCAC